Molecule: ribosomal RNA, 254 nt
Filed under: uncultured bacterium
Lineage: Bacteria
Description: partial 16S ribosomal RNA
Rfam family: Bacterial small subunit ribosomal RNA
Source: RNAcentral
CGUAGGGGCGAGCGUUGUCCGGAAUUACUGGGGCGUAAAGGGCGUGUAGGCGGCCCCUUAAGUCCGGUGUGAAAGCCCACGGCUCAACCGUGGAAGGUCACUGGAAACUGGGGGGCUUGAGAGCAGGAGAGGAGAGCGGAAUUCCCGGUGUAGCGGUGAAAUGCGUAGAGAUCGGGAGGAACACCAGUGGCGAAGGCGGCUCUCUGGCCUGGCUCUGACGCUGAGGCGCGAAAGCGUGGGGAGCAAACAGGAUU